AUGAGCUUCAUCAAGUUUAAUUUUACAGGCAUUAGCUCCUUCACCAAGAAACUCCUUUUCCAAAAAGACUGCCCGACUACCGACAAACACCUUUUGUUCUGCAGUGAGGUAGAAGUAGUACCCUUUAGUUUCUUUUGGAUACCCUACGAACAAGCAUCUAUCAGACUUCGGUCUAAACUUAUCUGUCUUUAAAUACUUAACAUAAGCUAGAUACCCCCAGACCC
This 224-nucleotide long non-coding RNA is filed under the name Elaeis guineensis (African oil palm). RNAcentral's name for it is "long non-coding RNA (EGUI_LNC067500)". The record is from RNAcentral. Lineage: Eukaryota; Viridiplantae; Streptophyta; Magnoliopsida; Arecales; Arecaceae.